UGGUGAAUAUUGGACAAUGGGCGCAAGCCUGAUCCAGCCAUGCCGCGUGAGUGAUGAAGGCCUUAGGGUUGUAAAGCUCUUUUGUCCGGGAAGAUAAUGACCGUACCGGAAGAAUAAGCUCCGGCUAACUUCGUGCCAGCAGCCGCGGUAAUACGAAGGGAGCUAGCGUUGUUCGGAAUUACUGGGCGUAAAGCGCAUGCAGGCGGAUCGUUAAGUCGGGGGUGAUAUCCCAGGGCUCAACCCUGGAACUGACUUCGAUACUGGCGACCUUGAGUCCGGGAGAGGUGAGUGGAACUCCGAGUGUAGGGGUGAAAUUCGUAGAUAUUCGGAAGAACACCAGUGGCGAAGGCGGCUCACUGGCCCGGUACUGACGCUGAGAUGCGAAAGCGUGGGGAGCAAACA
This 402-nucleotide ribosomal RNA is filed under the name uncultured bacterium. RNAcentral's name for it is "bacterial SSU rRNA". It matches the Rfam family "Bacterial small subunit ribosomal RNA", at positions 355 to 774 of the family's 1533-position model. The record is from RNAcentral.